Molecule: ribosomal RNA, 487 nt
Filed under: uncultured bacterium
Lineage: Bacteria
Description: bacterial SSU rRNA
Rfam family: Bacterial small subunit ribosomal RNA
Source: RNAcentral
GACGAACGCUGGCGGCGUGCCUAACACAUGCAAGUCGAACGGAGUAUAUUGAAAGCUUGCUUUCAAUAUACUUAGUGGCGGACGGGUGAGUAACGCGUGAGUAACCUGCCUUGUAGCGUGGAAUAACGUUCCGAAAGGAACGCUAAUACCACAUAACGUAGCGAAGUCGCAUGGCUUUGCUACCAAAGAUUUAUCACUAUGAGAUGGACUCGCGUCUGAUUAGCUAGUUGGUGAGGUAAUGGCUCACCAAGGCGACGAUCAGUAGCCGAACUGAGAGGUUGAUCGGCCACAUUGGGACUGAGACACGGCCCAGACUCCUACGGGAGGCAGCAGUGGGGGAUAUUGCGCAAUGGGGGAAACCCUGACGCAGCAACGCCGCGUGAAGGAUGAAGGUCUUCGGAUCGUAAACUUUUGUCUUCAGGGACGAUAAUGACGGUACCUGAGGAGGAAGCCACGGCUAACUACGUGCCAGCCGCCGCCGUAACAC